UCAGACGGCCGGGCGGUCGCGGCCCUCCUUCGGGCGGGUCGAGGAAAGUCCGGGCUCCACGACGGCAUGGCGGCGGGUAACGCCCGCCGGGGGCGACCCCAGGGAUAGCGCCACAGAAAGCAAACCGCCCGGCGAAGCCUCGUGCGGAGCAGGGUAAGGGUGAAAGGGUGGGGUAAGAGCCCACCGGGUCGCUGGUGACAGAGGCCGCAUGGCAAGCCCCGCCAGGAGCAAGACCGAAUAGGGAUUCCGCGCCGGCGCCUCUCCUUCGGGAAAGGGGCCGGUAGGGCCGCCGCCGGCCCGAGGGAUCCGGGUAGGUCGCGAGAACCGGUCCGCGAGGGCCGGUCCAGAGGAAUGAUCGCCGCGCUCCGCCCUCGGGCGGGGCGGCACAGAACCCGGCUUACAGGCCGUCUGAUCCC
RNAcentral lists this RNase P RNA (416 nucleotides) under Phenylobacterium zucineum HLK1. RNAcentral's name for it is "Bacterial RNase P class A". It matches the Rfam family "Bacterial RNase P class A". From Rfam's summary of the family: Ribonuclease P (RNase P) is a ubiquitous endoribonuclease, found in archaea, bacteria and eukarya as well as chloroplasts and mitochondria. Its best characterised activity is the generation of mature 5'-ends of tRNAs by cleaving the 5'-leader elements of precursor-tRNAs. Lineage: Bacteria; Pseudomonadati; Pseudomonadota; Alphaproteobacteria; Caulobacterales; Caulobacteraceae. The record is from Rfam by way of RNAcentral.